ACAGUAGGUACGGUGCAGCCAUCGUUAUUAUGCAUCCAUCCAUCGGAUCUUAUUUUUCGGGGUUCAGCUUCGCUUUCAUAUAGUAGUACUGUACAUGAUAUCUAGCUCAGGCCUUGUUUAGUUCACCCUGAAAACCAAAAAGUUUUCAAGAUUCCCUGUGACAUCGAAUCUUGUGGCACAUGCAUGAAACAUUAAAUAUAGACGAAAACAAAAACUAAUUACACAGUUUAGCUGAAAAUCACGAGACGAAUCUUUUGAUCCUAGUUAGUGCAUGAUUGGAUAAUAUUUGUCAUAAACAAACGAAAGUGCUACAGUUCCGAAAAGUUUUCACUUUUCGGAACUAAACAAGGCCUCAACCGCCGCUGACGAGGCUCGCUCGCGCCCGCAAAGCCAUCCAUCAUCCAUGGCAGCAGCAGCAGCAGCAGGAUAUCGUCGUCGUCGUCAUCCAUUCGGCCGUUCGGCGAGGGACGGAUGCAUCACCUCUGCAGACACAUCACACAAACAGAUGGCGAAGGGGGCGCGGCCGGGCGUGCAACUGCAAAAGGAUGAGGUCCGAUGCGGUUGGGUGCCUGCAACGGUUUGGGUUUUUCCUGAAUCGGGAAUCGGGAUUCAAAGAGACUAGUCUCUACUGUACUUGUAAUAAAGAGGAGCAGCGAGCCGAGAGGCCAUGCAGAUGCAGUGCAGGUGAGCAGAGCUGACGCACGGGCCCAGGUGGUCGUCCAUGUGUUGCAGCACAACAGGCACCGUGUCCCAUUCCCAUGUCUUUCCCUGAGAGGCUGACUAUUGUCGCUAUUGGGUGGGUGAGUGGACCACCACCGCCCGCC
RNAcentral lists this long non-coding RNA (824 nucleotides) under Sorghum bicolor (sorghum). RNAcentral describes it as "long non-coding RNA (SBIC_LNC001337)". Lineage: Eukaryota; Viridiplantae; Streptophyta; Magnoliopsida; Poales; Poaceae. The record is from RNAcentral.